RNAcentral lists this ribosomal RNA (497 nucleotides) under uncultured bacterium. RNAcentral's name for it is "partial 16S ribosomal RNA". It matches the Rfam family "Bacterial small subunit ribosomal RNA", at positions 28 to 507 of the family's 1533-position model. The record is from RNAcentral.
GAUGAACGCUGGCGGCGUGCCUAAUACAUGCAAGUCGAGCGAACAGACGAGGAGCUUGCUCCUCUGACGUUAGCGGCGGACGGGUGAGUAACACGUGGAUAACCUACCUAUAAGACUGGGAUAACUUCGGGAAACCGGAGCUAAUACCGGAUAACAUGUUGAACCGCAUGGUUCAACAGUGAAAGACGGUCUUGCUGUCACUUAUAGAUGGAUCCGCGCCGCAUUAGCUAGUUGGUAAGGUAACGGCUUACCAAGGCAACGAUGCGUAGACGACCUGAGAGGGUGAUCGGCCACACUGGAACUGAGACACGGUCCAGACUCCUACGGGAGGCAGCAGUAGGGAAUCUUCCGCAAUGGGCGAAAGCCUGACGGAGCAACGCCGCGUGAGUGAAGAAGGUCUUCGGAUCGUAAAACUCUGUUAUUAGGGAAGAACAAAUGUGUAAGUAACUAUGCACGUCUUGACGGUACCUAAUCAGAAAGCCACGGCUAACUACGUG